RNAcentral lists this long non-coding RNA (6734 nucleotides) under Podarcis lilfordi (Lilford's wall lizard). Lineage: Eukaryota; Metazoa; Chordata; Lepidosauria; Squamata; Lacertidae. The record is from RNAcentral.
UGUUACUGCAAGGUGGCCCUCAGAAGCCUGCAUAGCAGCCAAUGUCACCCUCUGGCUGAUCAAAGGUCCCAUGCCCUGUUUCAGAAAGUUACCUAUUUUUAGAUAACACUUCACAACAGUUUUUUACUUUUUGAAUGUUGUCUAGAUUUCUACAACUGAUUUAGGGUAUUUUUGCACUGCUGAAUCAGGAAAUGGCAUCCGUUUCUCUCCAUCAGGUCAGGUUUUUGUGCUAUGUUGAUUUGAAAAAAAUCAGAUCUUGUGACAAAAUCAAUUACAUUUUUGUGGCAUUAUCAGCUGAUUUUUGUCAACACAUAUCAUCCUAAAUAUGUUUUCAAGAGAAAAAAAAAAGUUUUUCCAACAACAUUUAUUGAUUACCUGAUAGAAACAUUGAUCACUGUAAACUGAAUGGUGGGCAUUGAUAAAGGUAAGUACACCUAAAUUGCAUGUUGCUUCACCAUUUUUCAAACUUCAGGGCUUGAACUUCCGUUUCUUGGAACUCCUGGAAUGCUCAGCGGCAGGGAGGUCUCUCUUCAGAGUCCAACAGUAGUCAGCCAUCAUGACUGCAUCCCAGUGACCCUGAUACCUGGUCUCCAUCUCUUUCAUGUCCUGGUGGAAUCUCUCUCCCUGCUUGUCACUCAUUGAACCCAGGUUCUCAGGAAACCGGUCCAUAUGUGAAAAUAGGUAGUGCAUCUUGAUGCUCAUGUUGCAGCCCAGGUUUCUGAAAGCAGUCAGCAUGUUGUCGACAAGUUCUGCGUAGUUUCUGGCCUUAUUGUUGCCAAGAAAGUUCUUCACUACCAGAACAAAUGCCUUCCACGCUUCCAGUUCCACUUCGUUCAUUGAGUUUUCGAACUCUGGAUCUCUGAUGAGCUGAUGGAUCUGAGGACUGUCAAAGAUGCCAGCUUUCAACUUCUCCAUGGUCAAUCCUGGAAAAGCCUUGCACAAGUAAGUGAAGCAGUCACCAUCCUUGUCCAGAGCCUUGGUGAACUGCUUGAUUAAGCCGAGCUUGAUGUGCAGUGGUGGGAAGAGUAUUCUGUCUCUGUCCACCAGAGGGUCGUUGAUGACGUUCCUUUUUCUGCAAGGCACCAAUUCCUCCCACACAGGCCAGUCCUUCUUCGUGUAAUGCUGAGCACGGUCCCUACUAUCCCACAUGCACAGAAAACAUGGGUACUUGGUGAAGACAGACUGUUGUCCCAACAAAAAGUUCACCAUCUUCAGGUCAAGACAAAUAAACCACUUAUGCUGAUCAUAACUAAUUUUCUCCAGCACAUACUUCACCGCUUCAUAGUUCUUCUUCAGUGUACUCGAGUGAGCCAGGGGUAUAGAGGCAAACUGGUUGCCGUUGUGUAGCAGAACACAUUUCAGUGAUUGCUUGCUGCUGUGAAUGAAUAGUCUCCAAUCUUUGGGUUCAUACUGUGGCACUCCAAGCUUGAGCAGAAGCUGCACAAUAUCUGCACAGUACACCAAGUCCUUCUCUUCCGAGAAAAAACGGAGGUACUCUUGAUGCCUGUUUAACUUAGUUUUGAUCCCCCAACUUUAUGCUUUGCCGCACCAAUUUAUGGAAGAUUUCGAGGUUUUAUGACUUCAAACUGAUCCCUUUUCGACAUAAUCACCCAGAACUAUCGGACCUGAAUACUUCUUGUGAUUAAAAUAAUCAUUUCCAAUCAAAACAAUUAUUCGACAUGGCAUUUUACCCCCACCAACUUCUUCUAAAAUGUUCCACACAAGCGUACAUGUGAACAAAAACGUAAAAAUAUGACAUGUGGUCAUAGCUCAAAAACUUGACCUGAUUGAGCAAAAACAAUGUGAUUUUUGGAUUCAGCGAAUCAGAUUCAUCCUAAAUCAACUGAAAAAACGCAGACAACAAAUUUGUUGUGCAGCUGUGUAAUUUUUCAAAAACAUAAGAACAUGAGAAUGCCCUCCCUUCAGAUGUCAAAGAGAUUAAGAACUACAUAACUUUUAGAAGACAUCUGAAGGCAGCCCUGUAUCAGGAAGUUUUUAAUGUUUGAUGCUUUAUUAUGUUUUAUAUAUUCUGUAAGCCACCCAGAGUGGCUGAGGAAACCCAGCCAGGUGGGUGGGAUAUUAUUAUUAUUAUUAUUAAGCCUGCUGGAUCAGUUCAAUGGCUCAUUGACUCACAGUGGCCAACCAGAUACUUAUGGGAAGCCCACAAGCUGUCCCAGUCUGCAGAGGUAACAGGAUGUCCUGAGAAGUAUGCUUUCUUCCAGAUGCAAAGAUGUGACAGAGAAAUUGCCAAGUCUUGUAAUUCCCAAUGACCACUACCCUUUCCUUCUGAUUCAUGUGGGUGCAAACAAUACUGCCACAUACAGCUUCAGUAUACAGCAAGGGGCUAUGAGGCAGGAAGCUGAAGAGCUGUAGGGCACAGGUUGUUUUUUCAUCACUCCACCCUGUUGAAGUUCGUGGUCCAGGAAGAGAGAAUAAAAUACUGGAAGUAAAUCACUGGCUGCACAGGUGGUGUCAUCAGGAAGGGUUUGGCUUCUUGGAUCAUGGUCUCUGCUUACUUGAAGAAGGACUUUUGGAGGAGAUGGGCAGCACUCCACAGCAGCUGGCAAGAAUGUAUUUGCUAAGUGUCUCAGAAAUCUGAUCAAGAGAGCUUUAAACUAGAUCCUGAGUGGGAGGGAGACAACAAUACAGAAGACAGAGGAACACCUAGGACUGGGGAUAAUGAUGGUGCUCCAGAAACCUGCUAAAGGGCAGGAAAUGACAAGAAGGAAGCAGCUGGAGGGAAUGACUUAUGGUUUCAGUUGUCUCUAUACCAAUGCACAGAGUGCAUGCAUAGUAAUAGAUGAAUAGUAGUUAUAUGUAAAGGAUGUGUUUAAUUGUGAAGAAAUCCAUGACCUGGAGCAUGGAAAGUAGAUUGAGAGUAUAUGGGUAAAAAUAGUAGGUCAAUGGCCUCACUGUGGGUGUCUGCUAUAGACCGCCAAGCUAGACUGAAGACUUGGAUGAUGCCUUCCUAAAGCAGAUUACCAAACAUUACAAAAGGAAAGAUAUUGUUGUUAUGGGAGACUUCAACUACUCCAAUACCUGUCAGGACCCUGCCAAACACAUAAAGGCCAACAAAUUCCUCCAUUGCCUUGCUGACAAUUUCAUUUCCCUUAAGGUGGAAGACAUGACAAGGUCUUGAACCUGGUCCUCAUAAACAGAGAGGAACUGACUAAAGUUCACAAGCACCAGUGCAUCCUUUUGAUUGAGGCAAUCAAUGGCAUGGGCUAUUUCCUCACGACUUUCUCUCCCUAUAUAAUCAUUAAUCUGUUUUUCUGCCUCUAUGAAAUUGGAAAAGUUAUUCAAAAAGCCUUCAGCUUUAUACAUGGUUUUGACAUUUUCCAAAAACUGAGGGAGGAUUUUCCUUGAACACGUUAUGAACAAGGCAUUCCCUAUGUUCACCCAGGCUUUGUUGCCUGGAUGGUGAAACUUAAAGAAGAACUGACGGAAUCCUCUGUGGCUCUUAGCCUCCAUGAUCUGUGACAGGUUAAAUGCAAGUCCCUUGUAAAUCAGUCUAGGGGUCUGAGAUUUAGCCCCAAGGCUGAGCGUUACAAAGGGUGUGGAAAUGCUUAGUGGAGAAAAUAUUUUGGGCAGCUGCCUCAGAAGCAAUUUCCUCGUAGAAUCAACAUGCACCAUUGAUUCCUUGUAGAAUCAAAAUGCACAAUCUUAUGCCAGUCACUUUUUGCUUGGAAUAGUGUCAAAGGUGGGCGUUGCUUUUUAGAUUGAUUUUUAUUCCCAUGAUCAGCAUGGUCUUUGGGCUGCCCUGGGUCGUGAUGACAAUAAACUUGAAGAGCAAACACUAAGAAGAAGUAAAUGAUAGACUUUCCUGGAACUUGUAAUUCUUCUGCCAAAGAUAAAAUAAAUCACAUAGAUGACAUUUGUCAGGUUUAGCACUUCUCUCACACAAGACACAACACGCUGGCAACAUUAGAGGCUCAACCAACUGCUAAAUGCUGAUGGUCCUUCCAGUUUGGACCAGAGCUGUUUGGCAAAGAGCUGCAUAAACAAGCACCUUUGGAAAUCCAAAACUCAAGGUUGUUGUUUUUUCAAAUAAAGAAACUGUAUUAAAGAUACACAUACACAUACUAUUAUAUUUGUCCAUAUUUACAUUAUAUGUAUAUUUUGUAAAUUCAACAAGCAAUUUCCAUUCAUCCUUAAAUCCUUCUUCCCCCAUUCUGUCACUCAAUGAAUGAUUACCCCCUUUAUUAGGCUAAUUUGGAAUUAUUCAAUGAAGCAGUAGCUUCAAUUUCCCCUUCAUCCAACAUAUUUAUGUAAGGCAAUGUUUCCUCUUUAAUUUUAAUUGUAUAGCACCUACACCCAUAUCAAAAAAUAUACUAGAAGAUAUACCCCACGUAUAUCAUUUCUUUAGUCUCCCAGUCAGAAAACAUAAUUCAUGAUUAUUUUUUGCAGGGACACUGGUGAGAGAUCUAUGAAAAAAGUACAGUGGUGCCCCGCAAGACGAAUGCCUCGCAAGACGAAAAACUCGCUAGAUGAAAGAGUUUUCCGUUUUUUGAGUCAUUCCGCAAGACGAAUUUCCCCAUGGGCUUGCUUCGCAAGACAAAACGUCUUGCGAGUUCUUGCGAGUUUGUUUCCUUUUUCUUAAAGCCGCUAAGCCGUUAAUAGCCGCUAAGCCGCUAAGCCGUUAAUAGCCGCUAAGCCGCUAAGCCGCUAAUAGCCGCUAAGCCGCUAAUAGCCGUGCUUCGCAAGACGAAAAAACCGCAAGACGAAGAGACUCGUGGAACGGAUUAAUUUCGUCUUGCGAGGCACCACUGUAUUUGAUUUUCGCUCCCAGUUUUGCAAAUUCUGGUUUAUCUCUAGCUGUUCUUAAUAUGAAAUCUUUUGAAUUAUUCAAGAAAGUCAUUAACACAUUUCUAUUCAAGUCCUUUCUUUUAGCAUAUGCUGCAUUUAUUCAAUGUGCAUUCCUUACUUAGAUAUCAUAAAAACCAGCACCUGCCAAAGUUGCAAGUGAAUCACCCCAAAAGCCCGUCAAAUUAUCCUCUUUAGUUUUCCCCACUAUCCUAAUUUACAAAUUUAGUUUCCUGCUUUUGUUUUCUGAUAUUUUAACCUGCUCUUAUAAAUAUUAAGCAGGCCUCUGCCACUAUGUCUUAAUCACUGAUAUGCCCCAAAUGCCCAUUUUCAUAAUUAACCAUUAAUCAGAACAAACAAGGAUUUUCCAAGGAAGGCAGAGAACCAAAAUGUGACGCAAUUUGUUUUUCGCCUGCUAGUGUGUCCCUUCAUUUUGCCCAUUGAGGCCAUGAGGUAAUGGCAGAUUGAAAAGCUUUGAGCAAGGGACAGUGAACCUGUUUCUCGAGAUCAGGGGUCAGCAAACUUUUUCAGCAGGGGGCCGGUCCACUGUCCCUCAGAUCUUGUGGGGUGCUGGACUAUAUUUUUUGGGGGGGGGAUAAAAAAUGAACUAAUUCCUAUGCCCCACAAAUAACCAAGGGAUGUAUUUUAAAUAAAAGGACACUUUCUACUCAUGUAAAAACACGCUGAUUCUCGGACCGUCCAUGGGCCGGAUUUAGAAGGAGAUUCGGCCGGAUCUGGCCCUUGGGCCUUAGUUUGCCUACCCAUGCUCUAGAUGUUGUGGGAGUACAACUCCCACCAUCCCUGACCGUGAACUGUGCUGUCUGGAGCUGAGGGAUGCUGGGAUACAAUAGCAUCAGGAAGGUUUCCCUAUACUGAUGUCUUAGGCAAAUGUGUCAUGAAGGCUAGCAACAUCAACCUCACCAAGUGAGAUUCCCUAGUGGGCAACUGCAGUGCCUGGAGACUUUUAGCUUACCGUACUCUUAAGUCGUAAUAUUAGUACAGAUGAAAGUUUAGGCCACAAAAUAUUGCUUUGGUGUGGUACGCUGGUUUGACAUAAUCUGAUAGGAAGUGCCUACAGAGGGUGGUGAAUACAGCACAAGAUAUUAUGGGCUGUCCUGUGAAUCCACUGGAUGAAUGUUGCCUCAGAAGAGUGAGGAAAAUUCUCAGGGAUGAUUCACACCCUGGCCGGCACUUUCUUGAUCUCCUGCCCUCAGGCAGAGGAUAUAGAAGCAUGAUUAGUCGCACCAACAGGGUAAAGAACAGCUUCUAUCGUGGGCUGUUAGGCUGCUGAAUGAAAAGAUAACAACAGGGCAACUGAUUUUGGGUUUGGUGGGUAUGCAUCAGUAAACAAGGGGAACUAAGACUAAGAGAGCAGAGUGGGGGGUGCUCGUGUACAUCACCUUGCCAACAAAGGUCUGUAUAGUUAAAGCUAUGGUUUUCCCAGUAGUGAUGUAUGGAAGUGAGAGCUGGACCAUCAAGAAGGCUGAUCGCCGAAGAAUUGAUGCUUUUGAAUUAUGGUGCUGGAGGAGACUCUUGAGAGUCCAAUGGACUGCAAGAAGAUCAAACGUAUCCAUUCUUAAGGAAAUCAGCCCUGAGUGCUCACUGGAAGGACAGAUCCUGAAGCUGAGACUCCAAUACUUUGGCCACCUCAUGAGAAGAGAAGACUCCCUGGAAAAGACCCUGAUGUUGGGAAAGAUGGAGGGCACAAGGAGAAGGGGACGACACAAGGAAAAUCCAGUUUGGGCUUUAGACACAUACUCAUUAAUGUCCAGUGUUGACAAUGGGCCACAUUUUGCAGAACUUUUGAGCUUCCAGUUUGGGGUUAAAUGUGCCCUACUCAGGUUGGGACAAAUUCCCAUGAAAACAUGCAUUCUGAGAUAUUGCAUCUCAAAUGGUGAUCUCUGCAGAAUAAAAAAGUAUCCAGUCCAAUC